Molecule: RNA transcript, 7961 nt
Organism: Drosophila subpulchrella
Lineage: Eukaryota; Metazoa; Arthropoda; Insecta; Diptera; Drosophilidae
Exons: 12
Source: RefSeq, a predicted model, not a curated record
GCUGGCGCUCUCGCCGAGGCAGGCGACAAGCUCUCUCGCUGCUCUCUGGCGACUGGCGACUGGCGACUCGGGUCGCCGAGAACAGCAGGAAAAUCCAUUUUCCAUUUUCCCACAUACGGACACUGGCUCAAAGUAUCGUGUGCGGCGGACGUCCUUGUCGUGCGUGCGUCGUUUGCUCGCGCUGACGGUGUUUUUUGGGUUCAGGGAGCACAGGCACAUCGCAUCGAGCAGCAUGGAAAUAUAGCCACUGGCGGGCGCAACGGAACAACAGGAGCCCCAGCUAACUGUUCAUUUUCGCAUUCGCAAUCGCAAUCGCAAUCGCAUUCGAAUCGAUUCCGAGUGUUGUUGUGUGGCUGGUGCAUUCGAAAAGAUGUGAUGCCUUUUUUUUUAGUGAGAUUUUUUCCUAUUUUUCCCAUCAAUUUCGGUGAGAGUGCUGUGCAACGAAAGGGAAUACCAAAAACGAUUUCUUUUAGAAAAUCGCGAGAGUCCCCGAAGGAGAAGGCCACACAUAGAAAGGAAAAGGAAAAGCGCAAAGCGAAAGCCAAGGAAAGGCAGCGCAAUAAGGUUUUCACCUGCCCACACCACCUUUAAAGACCUGACCCUGAAAACUAGCCACUUGGAGGCCACAAAAGCGUGCUAUUUAUGGAAAGAAGAAAUAAAAGGAGUCCCAAUCAAUUUAAGCAUCAAUUCAACAUCUUGCGGUGGGUGCUAAAGGAAGCUGGGCGAGAAGAGGGCGCGCCAGAAGGGCUUCAGCGGCGAAACAGGGGGCGUCACAUUUAACGGAAGGAAAAGGAAAGCCAACCCGACCGAAUCAUGAAACAUUCAAAUAUUUCCAUACACAAGGACAUGAUGGAAUUCGGAUAACUGCAACCGAGAAUAACGCAAUCAAAUCAAAUUUGGACAUUUUCACCGAGUAUUUCACUUAGCGGUUAUAAGCAUCGUUAAUGAUCAUGAAUCGAAAAGAUAUUAAUAGAGCUUGUAAAUGAAAGCAUACAUCCGAACAAAGCAACUUUGAUAUAUACCACCCAAACCAAACUGUUCUCAGCGGAUCAGUAAGGACCAAGAGGAGGAGGAGGAGGAGCAGGACGACGACGAGGAAAAGGCCGACGGGCCAGAGAGGGCAGCAAAACCGCCGCUACAUCAGCGGGCACAGCGGUCAUGGAACCAUCCGGCGGAGUGCCGCCGGAUAGGGAUAGGCAGCUGGUGCUCCGGAAUCAGUCGGCUGCCCUGGUGCCCGUGAUCGUUUCCGCACCACCCUCUGGACCGGGGGCAACCACUCCCAACCCGCAGCCAUCGUCACAGUCACAGGCGUCGCCGCUGCCCAGCAAGCCAACCAGUCUGAGUCUUCAGCCGCAUGCCGUGCUCCAGGCCAUGCAACAGUUAUCCCCAUCGGCCGGAGGCAACAACAACGCCACCAGCGCAGUUGCCACGGCCACGAGCAGCAGCAGUGGGAACGCCAAUAGCGGCAGCAGUCCCGCCCUGGCCUCCACCGCCACGGCCAUAUCGGCGACAACCCAGGCGGCUACUGCCUUUAGCGGCAGUUCGGUGGGUCACCACCACCCGCAGCACCACCACCAGCAUCCGCAUGCCCCACAGCAGCAGCAACAGCAACCGCAUCCGACCAAUGCACCGAGUACAGCGCCACAAGCCCACCACCACGGCUCCAUUUCCGUCACUGGGUCGAGCGGUGGACUCAUUGGUUCCAGUGGCGGCAGUGGUAACCAGCAGCAGGCCAUUGAGAAGCUAUCGCGACCCAUGGCCUUCGAUAAGAUGGAAAUGCUGGUGCGUGAGAUGCAGGACCAGGAACACGGUGUGCCCGUGCGGCAGCAGAAAAUGUUCCUCACAUCCAUACCAUAUGCGUUUAUGGGAUACGAUCUAAUUGAAUGGCUGAUGGACCGCCUGCAAAUCGAGGAGUCGGAGGCCCUGAACAUUGCUAAUCAACUGUGUCUGCACGGCUACUUCUUUCCGGUCAACGACUCAAAGACGCUGACCGUGAAGGACGAUUCGUCGCUGUAUCGGUUCCAGACACCCUACUAUUGGCCCUGGCAGCACAAGGCGCCGGAUAAUGUGGAGUAUGCCAUCUAUUUGGCCAAACGAUCGCUGCGCAACAAGCAGCGGCACGCACUGGAGGACUACGAGGCCGAGGCACUGGCCUCGCUGCACAAGAACCUGAAGGGCAAGUGGGACUUCAUCUCGAUGCAGGCCGAGGAGCAGGUGCGCCUGGCCAAGGAGCGCAAGAAGGGUGACAAGAUCGUGGGAGACUCGCAGGAACGAGCUUACUGGAGAGUUCACCGUCCACCACCUGGCCAGUUCACUCCCUUGGAGCCCUGUCCAGUGCCUUCGCGCGAUCGUCAGGGCCUCAAGCCCAAUAAAAAAAAGACUGUCGAUGACAUGCAGCGCGACGUUGACUACUUGGGCAAGUCGCUCAAUCGGACACGGAUGAAGAUGUCGCAGGCCUGCGAGUCGCUCGUCUGCUACUCGGAGACCUUCUCCGAAUACGAUUUCUUUCUGCAGCCGGCAUUGCCCUCCAAUCCGUGGGUGACCGAGGAUAUUGCCUUUUGGCAGCUGAACAACACAUUUGUGGACAUUCCCACAGAGAAGCGCGUCAAGCGCUGGGCCAUUUCCAUCGAGGAGCUCGUCUCCGAUCCCACAGGCCUACAGGAGUUCACCGGCUUCCUGGAGAAGGAGUACUCGCACGAAAACAUCCGCUUCUGGAUAGCGGUCAAUCGAUUGCGCCGCUCCGCUCACUCUCAGGUGGCACGAAAGGUCAACGAAAUCUACGAAGAGUUUUUAAAGCCAGGAGCACCGUGCGAGAUAAACAUUGACGGCAAGACCAUGGAGAGCGUUCUCCGGGGCCUGAAAAACCCAUCGCGGUUCACCUUUGACUCGGCCUCGGAGCACAUAUACAUGCUGCUGCUGAAGAAGGACUGCUACCCACGAUUUAUUCGAUCCGAGCACUACAAACGUCUGCUAGACACCGGCAUUCAGCCGUCGUACAAGAAGCGGUUUUUUAACUUUGGCGGCGUUAGCGGAGCCAAGAAGAAAAUGACAGCCGCCCUGAGCAGCCAGCCAAACCUGGGGGAUGCGGCCAAAGGAGCUGGUGGCACUGGCUCCGGCAGCUGUUCCAUGAUGCAGGCACCACCGCCCGGAAGCCUGGCCCGGCGCCGUGGCAGCGAUCGCAGUCUCACGGGUUCCGCCCACGAACUGGCCGUGAUCGGGGUGAACAAGGAUUCGGGCUCCAAGGUACCACACUCUCAUUCCCAGAGUAAUCUCAGCGAAAUUCCCUUCAGUAGCGAUUCAAUUUAUCGAGGCGAUAUGCCACAGCGCCACAUGGCGGUCAUGGAUGUUGGGAUCUAUGCGGCCUACGGGAAUCGCGAAAGUAGUUUGCAGGCACUUCCAGAAACGCCAAAGACGAAGACCACCGCCCUUGAGACAACGGAGUCCACGUCGUCGUCCACAGCUCUGGUUGUGGCGGCCAGCAGUGCCGUCUGUCCUUGGGACGAACCAGCCGAACCAGUCCCGCCGCCGCCAGCGCAGUUAAAGCUAUCCGUGUGUCCCUGGGAAUCGGAUAGUGCCACAGAGCCGCCGGCUCCCACUACGGCCACAGGAGGAGGAGGACCGUCGAAGAUCUCAAGUUCCACCGGGCAGCCAUUGCGGUUGAAUAGCACUUCCUCGGACAACAGCGAUGUGAAUGACCGAAUGCAGCGGAAUUUGGGUAUUCGCCAUCAGAACACCGUGGACAGUGGUGAGGCAGGUAUCAAGCGUCUGAUUCCCAACUUUCCAGAGCAGCGUCGGGCUUCAGUCUCAUUUACUCCAAGCCGUACUCUGGAUUUCCAGCUGGGACGGGCUCCAACGACGACAUCCUCACCCAGUAGCUCCACCCCGCUGCAGGCUCGCAGUGCUGCCUACGGUAGUGGCGCCAUCACAAAGGAUCCACCAUCUGGUUCUGAUAUCGAUGCGGAACUGGAGGCGGAACUCAACCAGUUGUCCCUUGGCGACUCCUCGACAUCGGAGUUGCCGCUCCUAAUAGUACCCACCCCCACGCAGACCCCGCCGCCCAUUACAAAGAUUACGCCGGUGCCGGGAGAAUGCGAGGAUCAGGCGGCGGCCACUUCGACAGGGACCGCGGAAAUGUCCUGCUCAACCCAAACCAAGCCAGUGAAGAAGGCACCGGUGACGGUGACCACAGUCAAAGAAGUCCAGAUUGAACUGAUCGAGGAGGGCAGUAGUGUCCACACAGAACCAGGAAGUCCGCCCACCAUUAAAGUCCUGGAGCUAGAAGCAACUACAUCCGUAUCUUCUGAGCCAGCAGCAGCAGAUACAGGGGGGUGUACAGCACAGAUAAACACCACCACCACCGAGGAGCAUCCAGAGUUAGAGGAUGAAACGGAAAAGGCUGCCGAAAUAGAAGCGCCGGUUUUGGACGAGCUUUCACCCACCACCGACGAGUACCAGGAGGGUCUGCAGUUUGGCAGCGAUGCCAAGGACGCAGUCGACGACUUUGACAGCAUAGACGUGGGCUAUAUACCGCCUGCACCUACCCCGGCUCCCUCCAUGGCACCGCUGGCUGAGCUGGACGUGGACACGGUGGACGAUGAGCCGUUCGAGCCACCGCCCCUUCCUCCUAGCAGCAGGGACGCGGUGUUGGCUUCGGCUUCGGCCUCCGCCUCCGUAUCGGCUACGGCCACGCCCACAUCCAGCAACGAAGAAGCGCGCAAGCGGCGCAAGAAACGAAACUCGGAGGGCAAGAAACUUAGCUCGCAGGACGAAAAGGAUAAGGAGUCGCGCGAUAGGGCUGGCGGAAGCAGCAUCGACGCCGAUCACAAUGCGGUGUGUCCCUGGGAAGACGAGAACGUCAGCACGAACGACGGCACCUUCGUGAAGACGUAUGCCACAUUGGGAUACUUAUGAAUAAAGCCAAAUCUGUUCAAGACGGUGGUCAACAAGUUGCUGAAAAGGAAGCCAUACAAGAAGUAAGGUCUGGGUAGCUAAGUUUAUUAUACGGAGUAUCUAUUAUAAUACGUACAUGCAAACAUAUUAUGUAAAUAAAUUUAUUGAGCUGCCCGCCCAAACAAUCGCAGAAAUCGAGCUAUGCUGUAUAACACUAACAACUUAAAGCCAACAUCGAUGGGAGUGAACCGUGAUGGCCCGCAUCUUUAAGAUCAAAUUACUGUUCCAUUCGAACACGUUAACCUUAUAAAAACAAAUGAUUAGAAAAUCAAAUUAAGAUGAAAUCCUGGUUGUUCGCGACUAAUACCUUUAUAUGAAUCGAAAAAAGAUAACUUAUCGAAGAACUAUUACAAUCUAAGUAUAUUUCUAUUUUCAUUGUGCAUAUGAAUUAGCUACUUACUGUCGAGCCCAUUUUGCUGGUAAACAAUCUUUAUAUGGGAUAUCUGAAUUCUCUUUGUGCUUUCUAUGCUAAAAACACAUUUUUCAACUACUUCAAUUAACAAGCAAAACCUAAACUGUAAAACUAUAUGUACCAAAUGUUGUACCAAAUGAAGAGAGUUACAUAAAUGACGAAAACCUAAGCAAAUCAUAGAAAAUUUUGCAUAGAUAUUACGAGUCGAGGGGUACAUAUAGACAAAUAGGAACAAUGUGCCGAGUGUAGGGCGUGCGUACAAAAUGUGUACAUGAAACCACCGUUAACUUUGCUUAAUGCGAGCCGAGCAAUUAAAGAGUUAAAAAACAAAAUAAAGAAAUGAAAAAAGUAAAUCAGCGGCAGCAAUAGUUCCAAAAUUGUUGUCAAAAUAUAAUAGCAGCUUUUAGAACAACACCAAAGAAGUUGUAGUAAAUGCGGAGGAAAAUUGUAUUGUUGUUGUUUUUUAUGUACAUUUACUUUUUUGUAUUAACGUUGUUGUAAGUCAAAUAUGCCAAAAAGAAUAGUUUAUUAAGAGUUUACAAGAAAAUUUGAAGGCAAGAUAUGAAUUACUUUAACGCAAAUCGCAAGAAAAAGUUCCGAAUGUUUUUAGUAAUCAAUGGUGAAUAUCUUUUAAUUGCUUAUACUAAAUGUUCCCAUACAUAUUUAUGGGAUCCUUGACGCAACAUAAAUCUUAAAUAAAUAUAGCUAGCGCGGCUGUCGACUUUACUUAUCCCGGUACUCAAAAAACCGAAAAUACAAUAAGAUACUGGUUUGAUGAUAUAGCGAAAACUUUAAGUAAUGAAAUAACAUGUUAUUAGGUGGUAUUCAAGUCUUACCUGAUUUUAUAUGCGUUGGCACUUGGCCAUUUUUUUUUAAGAUUGCAACAUUAGAUAAGUGCAAAUCAGAUUUCCUCAGAUUUAUUUAUAGCUCUGAAAAAGUGGUCGAAUUAUAGAUACAAUUUCGAAAUAUAAUUUCAACAAUUUGAAAGUACUUUCCAAAAAUACAUUUUGUCCGUUGUUCGUCGAGUAAAAGGGUAUACUAGAUUCGUCGGAAAGUAUGUAACAGGUAGAAGGAAGCGUUUCCGACUCCAUAAAGUAUAUAUGUAUAUUCUUGAUCAGGAUCACUUGCCGAGUCGAUCUAACCAUGUCCGUCUGUCCGCUUUGUAAAAAUUUAAAUAAGAUAUUGUUUUAUUAUCAAUACCUAUAUAUAUGCCAAAAAAUAUUGAACUCGGACCAGUCAAUAAAAAGUUAUAACCAAAUAAUAAACAAUACUUUGAAAUUCAAUCGAGAUUGCUUACCACAUGCAGCAUAUAAACUGUUUUCACUAAUACGCCACCAAGCCGGUAGGGGCGCUAUAGGCUAGUUGGCGCUGUAGGCCAAGUGGCGCUAUAUAAGGAGAAGAUAGGUGGCGCUAUAGGCUAGGUGUGUUAGUGAAAAAAGCUUAGUUGCUUUAAGCAACUCUCCAUCUCUUUCGCACUCCCUUAAGCUGAAUAACGGGUAUCUAAUAGUCGGGGCCAUCGACUAUAGCGUUUUCUCUUGUUUUAGAGUACAAUCUGCAUGUUUCGAAAACAUGCACUAUUUUCUGGGACUUACUUUAACAAAACAUAAAAUCUUAUAAAUGUUGAUUAUGUAUUUUAAAAUGUUUAAAUAAUAUAUUUUUUGAAAUAUAUUCCUAAAUUUCUGAAAAUUAGUCCGAAAUGUAUAAUUUCUUUAUUGAUUGAGUGAUUUAAAUUUAAUGAUUAAUUUUUAGAACUUAGGACGGUUUUCAUUUUAAGUUUAUGGCAAAUAAUAAUUGUUAGCUGCCAGAAGUUGGAAUCUGGCAGCCAAAAAUGGUGUCUGUUGUUUAGUUGUAUAAUAAUUGAUUUUUUGAGUAUCGGGUAAGCAUAAAAAGAAAAUACUAUAAAUGGUAUUAUGGAUUGAUAAAGCCGCUGCCGCGCCAUUUUGAAAAUAAUAAAAAUUCGAUAACUAAUGUAUGUUAAACAAAUUACAUAAGUAUAUACUACUUCAUGCGACAGGUGGGUAGCAUUGCCCUACAAAUAUUUACUUUAAUUUCUGGAUAAUUAGUGCUCAUAUCACUGAUUAGAGAACAGGAAUGCGCAAAACAAUAUGCUUAAUACAUAAGAUUCCAGAGCUUUUAGUAACGCCAUGUAAAUUCUGGGUCAUGAAUACAGUUGUGAAGAGUGUAAACGAGGCGUUUGUUAUUAUGUAUUCAAGUCAUUUACUAUAAGUGUAUACAGCUUAUACUAUUACAAAAGUGUUAAAAACAUGAAUUAUUUUGAGAAAACCAAAAAAAGAAUAUACAACAAACAUGUUAGUCGGUAAAAGAAAUCAAAUGUAAAACAAUUUAAUGUAGACUGUACUAAAGAAUUCAAGGAUAAUUGAAUAUCAACACUCCAUCACGCAAGUAACUUAAAGGAAAUUCGCAAAUUGAAUAGAAAUUGAUGGGAAAAUUAUUUGCACAGUGCAGAAAAACGUGUUAUAAUAUUAUUAUACUAUACAAAAAAUAUAUAUUAUUAAAUUAUGCUGAUGAAAUUAAAAACCAUAAAAGUAUGUAAAAAAAUUCAAAUACAAAAUGAUUUAAAUGAAGUACAAUAAAUAUU